UCUCCGUUGGUGAACCAGCGGAGGGAUCAUUACCGAGUUUACAACUCCUAAACCCCUGUGAACAUACCAUUUGUUGCCUCGGCGGUGCCUGCUUCGGCAGCCCGCCAGAGGACCCAAACCCUUGAUUUUAUACAGUAUCUUCUGAGUAAAUGAUUAAAUAAAUCAAAACUUUCAACAACGGAUCUCUUGGUUCUG
RNAcentral lists this unclassified non-coding RNA (195 nucleotides) under plant metagenome. Its description in RNAcentral is "partial contains small subunit ribosomal RNA, internal transcribed spacer 1, and 5.8S ribosomal RNA". The record is from RNAcentral.